GACGAACGCUGGCGGCGUGCCUAAUACAUGCCAGUCGAACGAGAGCGACCGGUGCUUGCCCUGGUCAAUCUAGUGGCGAACGGGUGAGUAACACGUGGGUAACCUGCCCAUCAGAGGGGGAUAACAUCCGGAAACGGAUGCUAAAACCGCCUAGGUCUUCGAACCGCAUGGUUUGAAGAGGAAAAGAGGCGCAAGCUUCUGCUGAUGGAUGGACCCGCGGUGCAUUAGCUAGUUGGUGAGGUAACGACUCACCAAGGCCGUGAUGCAUAGCCGACCUGAGAGGGUGAUCGGCCACAUUGGGACUGAGACACGGCCCAGACUCCUACGGGAGGCAGCAGUAGGGAAUCUUCCGCAAUGGACGCAAGUCUGACGGAGCAACGCCGCGUGAGUGAAGAAGGUUUUCGGAUCGUAAAACUCUGUUGUUAGAGAAGAACAAGUGCUAGAGUAACUGUUAGCGCCUUGACGGUAUCUAACCAGAAAGCCACGGCUAACUACGUG
RNAcentral lists this ribosomal RNA (498 nucleotides) under uncultured bacterium. Its description in RNAcentral is "partial 16S ribosomal RNA". It matches the Rfam family "Bacterial small subunit ribosomal RNA", at positions 28 to 507 of the family's 1533-position model. The record is from RNAcentral.